This 65-nucleotide non-coding RNA is filed under the name Bacteroidota bacterium. RNAcentral describes it as "Bacteroidetes bacterium Fluoride sequence". It matches the Rfam family "Fluoride riboswitch aptamer (crcB RNA motif)". The record is from RNAcentral. Lineage: Bacteria; Pseudomonadati; Bacteroidota.
GCGGUAAAAGGGAAUGGAGUUUCCCUUGCCCAACCGCCUUAAUGGCUGAUGACUCCUGUUCAAUC